This 406-nucleotide ribosomal RNA is filed under the name uncultured bacterium. RNAcentral describes it as "partial 16S ribosomal RNA". It matches the Rfam family "Bacterial small subunit ribosomal RNA", at positions 30 to 526 of the family's 1533-position model. The record is from RNAcentral.
AUUGAACGCUGGCGGCAGGCCUAACACAUGCAAGUCGAACGAGUGGCGGACGGGUGAGUAAUGUCUGGGAAACUGCCUGAUGGCGGGGGAUAACUACUGGAAACGGUAGCUAAUACCGCAUACCAUCGGAUGUGCCCAGAUGGGAUUAGCUAGUAGGUGGGGUAAAGGCUCACCUAGGCGACGAUCCCUAGCUGGGCUGAGAGGAUGACCAGCCAAACGGGAACUGAGGCACGGUCCAGACUCCUACGGGAGGCAGCAGUGGGGAAUAUUGAACAAUGGGCGCAAGCCUGAUGCAGCCAUGCCGCGUGUGUGAAGAAGGCCUUCGGGUUGUAAAGCACUUUCAGUGGGGAGACGUUACCCGCAGAAGAAGCACCGGCUAACGUCGUGCCAGCCGACGCGGUAAUAC